RNAcentral lists this long non-coding RNA (613 nucleotides) under Homo sapiens (human). RNAcentral describes it as "non-protein coding PANTR1:38". Lineage: Eukaryota; Metazoa; Chordata; Mammalia; Primates; Hominidae. The record is from RNAcentral.
GAGUUUGGAGGGUGCCGGUCAGCGGAGCCGUGCGAUGUAUUUGAAAAGCAAUCAGUCCGACCUUCCCCCAUAGAUUCAUCCUGCCUGAAAAUCAUAUGCGUGGUUUUUCCUGUUUCCUGCUCUGUAGCUGACAUCAGGGGAGCAACGUGAACACAGGAAAAUGGAAAUCAACAUUUGAAACUUUUAAAUGGAAGCUUUAUUGGGGUUCCACAUAUGGAAAACUGCAAAUAGCAGAAGUAUGUGACUCAAUAAAUUAUUCUGGAGUGACCACAUCCUCUAACUGCCUCCCAGGACAAGACGGAGAAUGUGAACAAUGCUCCUGAAGGCCCCUUUCCCUCAAAGAAUCACUGCAAUUGAAGGAAAAAUGCUCCAUGUCCCCUCUGCCAGUUGGUGUUUAUCAAAGGACAACGGAGGAAGAGAGACAAAGUGCCUGGAUGUGUGUGUUAAUCAAGAGUUGUCAGGACCCUGCCUCUAAAAGAAAGCGCUAAAAUGAUGCUUUUGACAAGACUUUUCUCAAAGUGGAUGCAGUCUAAGGGUUGGAAAACAAGGCCCAAUCAGGCUAGGUCUGACUUGUCGCCUGCUUUUGUAAAUAAAGUUUUAUUGGCUCACAGAC